UAGGCAACUGAACCUUGUCUGGGCUAUAGUC
RNAcentral lists this non-coding RNA (31 nucleotides) under Mus musculus (house mouse). Lineage: Eukaryota; Metazoa; Chordata; Mammalia; Rodentia; Muridae. The record is from RNAcentral.